GUUUUUCCGGUCAGGGCCUUCCAUCGGUGAAUACGAUUCUGGAUAGAAGAUAUAGGGGUGAGGGAUUUGAGGCCAAGCUGGUGAUCAAAUAGGCGGCGGACAAGAUUGUCCACUAUAGCAACCUCAUAAUUUUUCUUCGAAAGAUGGAGGGCAGUUGCCCAACCACAGUAGCCAUCACCGCCAAUAACCAUAACCUUUUUGGGUUUUGAGAUAUGUUCU
This 219-nucleotide unclassified non-coding RNA is filed under the name Hevea brasiliensis (rubber tree). Lineage: Eukaryota; Viridiplantae; Streptophyta; Magnoliopsida; Malpighiales; Euphorbiaceae. The record is from RNAcentral.